RNAcentral lists this ribosomal RNA (253 nucleotides) under uncultured bacterium. RNAcentral describes it as "partial 16S ribosomal RNA". It matches the Rfam family "Bacterial small subunit ribosomal RNA", at positions 524 to 776 of the family's 1533-position model. The record is from RNAcentral.
UACGUAGGUGGCAAGCGUUGUCCGGAUUUACUGGGCGUAAAGAGCGCGCAGGCGGUCGUUCAAGUCGCGUGUGAAAGCCCCCGGCUCAACUGGGGAGGGUCACGCGAUACUGAUCGACUCGAAGGCAGGAGAGGGUAGUGGAAUUCCCGGUGUAGUGGUGAAAUUCGUAGAUAUUGGGAAGAACACCGGUGGCGAAGGCGGCUCUCUGGACCGAGACUGACGCUGAGGCGCGAAAGCGUGGGGAGCAAACAGG